GACGAACGCUGGCGGCGUGCUUAACACAUGCAAGUCGAACGGAAAGGCCCUGCUUUUGUGGGGUGCUCGAGUGGCGAACGGGUGAGUAACACGUGAGUAACCUGCCCUUGACUUUGGGAUAACUUCAGGAGACUGGGGCUAAUACCGGAUAGGAGCUCCUGCUGCAUGGUGGGGGUUGGAAAGUUUCGGCGGUUGGGGAUGGACUCGCGGCUUAUCAGCUUGUUGGUGGGGUAGUGGCUUACCAAGGGUUUGACGGGUAGCCGGCCUGAGAGGGUGACCGGCCACAUUGGGACUGAGAUACGGCCCAGAAGCCUACGGGAGGCAGCAGUGGGGAAUAUUGCACAAUGGGCGGAAGCCUGAUGCAGCAACGCCGCGUGCGGGAUGACGGCCUUCGGGUUGUAAACCGCUUUCGCCUGUGACGAAGCGUGAGUGACGGUAAUGGGUAAAGAAGCACCGGCUAACUACGUG
This 468-nucleotide ribosomal RNA is filed under the name uncultured bacterium. RNAcentral's name for it is "partial 16S ribosomal RNA". It matches the Rfam family "Bacterial small subunit ribosomal RNA", at positions 28 to 507 of the family's 1533-position model. The record is from RNAcentral.